CCUACGGGAGGCAGCAGUGGGGAAUAUUGGGCAAUGGGCGAAACCCUGAAGCAGCAACGCCGCGUGAAGGAUGAAGGUUUUCGGAUUGUAAACUCCUUUUGUGAGAGAAGAUAAUGACGGUAUCUAACGAAUAAGCACCGGCUAAAUCCGUGCCAGAAGCCGCGGUAAUACGGAGGGGGCAAGCGUUACUCGGAAUCACUGGGCGUAAAGAGCGCGUAGGCGGGAUAGCAAGUCAGAUGUGAAAUCCUAUGGCUUAACCAUAGAACUGCAUUUGAAACUGUUAUUCUAGAGUAUGGGAGAGGUAGGUGGAAUUCUUGGUGUAGGGGUGAAAUGCGUAGAGAUCAAGAGGAAUACUCAUUGCGAAGGCGACCUGCUAGAACAUAACUGACGCUGAUGCGCGAAAGCGUGGGGAGCAAACAGGAUUAGAUAUCCGAGUAGUC
RNAcentral lists this ribosomal RNA (440 nucleotides) under uncultured bacterium. RNAcentral's name for it is "partial 16S ribosomal RNA". It matches the Rfam family "Bacterial small subunit ribosomal RNA", at positions 338 to 795 of the family's 1533-position model. The record is from RNAcentral.